GGCAGCACGGAGCUUGCUCUGGUGGCGAGUGGCGAACGGGUGAGUAAUAUAUCGGAACGUACCCUGGAGUGGGGGAUAACGUAGCGAAAGUUACGCUAAUACCGCAUACGAUCUAAGGAUGAAAGUGGGGGAUCGCAAGACCUCAUGCUCGUGGAGCGGCCGAUAUCUGAUUAGCUAGUUGGUAGGGUAAAAGCCUACCAAGGCAUCGAUCAGUAGCUGGUCUGAGAGGACGACCAGCCACACUGGAACUGAGACACGGUCCAGACUCCUACGGGAGGCAGCAGUGGGGAAUUUUGGACAAUGGGCGAAAGCCUGAUCCAGCAAUGCCGCGUGAGUGAAGAAGGCCUUCGGGUUGUAAAGCUCUUUUGUCAGGGAAGAAACGGUGAGAGCUAAUAUCUUUUGCUAAUGACGGUACCUGAAGAAUAAGCACCGGCUAACUACGUGCCAGCAGCCGCGGUAAUACGUAGGGUGCAAGCGUUAAUCGGAAUUACUGGGCGUAAAGCGUGCGCAGGCGGUUUUGUAAGUCUGAUGUGAAAUCCCCGGGCUCAACCUGGGAAUUGCAUUGGAGACUGCAAGGCUAGAAUCUGGCAGAGGGGGGUAGAAUUCCACGUGUAGCAGUGAAAUGCGUAGAUAUGUGGAGGAACACCGAUGGCGAAGGCAGCCCCCUGGGUCAAGAUUGACGCUCAUGCACGAAAGCGUGGGGAGCAAACAGGAUUAGAUACCCUGGUAGUCCACGCCCUAAACGAUGUCUACUAGUUGUCGGGUCUUAAUUGACUUGGUAACGCAGCUAACGCGUGAAGUAGACCGCCUGGGGGAGUACGGUCGCAAGAUUAAAA
RNAcentral lists this ribosomal RNA (836 nucleotides) under Janthinobacterium lividum. RNAcentral describes it as "bacterial SSU rRNA". It matches the Rfam family "Bacterial small subunit ribosomal RNA", at positions 68 to 899 of the family's 1533-position model. The record is from RNAcentral. Lineage: Bacteria; Pseudomonadati; Pseudomonadota; Betaproteobacteria; Burkholderiales; Oxalobacteraceae.